This 792-nucleotide ribosomal RNA is filed under the name Rothia kristinae. RNAcentral's name for it is "bacterial SSU rRNA". It matches the Rfam family "Bacterial small subunit ribosomal RNA", at positions 673 to 1460 of the family's 1533-position model. Lineage: Bacteria; Bacillati; Actinomycetota; Actinomycetes; Micrococcales; Micrococcaceae. The record is from RNAcentral.
GUGUAGCGGUGAAAUGCGCAGAUAUCAGGAGGAACACCGAUGGCGAAGGCAGGUUACUGGGCUGUUACUGACGCUGAGGAGCGAAAGCAUGGGGAGCGAACAGGAUUAGAUACCCUGGUAGUCCAUGCCGUAAACGUUGGGCACUAGGUGUGGGGGACAUUCCACGUUUUCCGCGCCGUAGCUAACGCAUUAAGUGCCCCGCCUGGGGAGUACGGCCGCAAGGCUAAAACUCAAAGGAAUUGACGGGGGCCCGCACAAGCGGCGGAGCAUGCGGAUUAAUUCGAUGCAACGCGAAGAACCUUACCAAGGCUUGACAUACACCGGAUCGUUCCAGAGAUGGUUCUUCCCUUUUGGGCUGGUGUACAGGUGGUGCAUGGUUGUCGUCAGCUCGUGUCGUGAGAUGUUGGGUUAAGUCCCGCAACGAGCGCAACCCUCGUUCUAUGUUGCCAGCACGUGAUGGUGGGGACUCAUAGGAGACUGCCGGGGUCAACUCGGAGGAAGGUGGGGAUGACGUCAAAUCAUCAUGCCCCUUAUGUCUUGGGCUUCACGCAUGCUACAAUGGCCGGUACAAUGGGUUGCGAUACUGUGAGGUGGAGCUAAUCCCAAAAAGCCGGUCUCAGUUCGGAUUGGGGUCUGCAACUCGACCCCAUGAAGUCGGAGUCGCUAGUAAUCGCAGAUCAGCAACGCUGCGGUGAAUACGUUCCCGGGCCUUGUACACACCGCCCGUCAAGUCACGAAAGUUGGUAACACCCGAAGCCGAUGGCCUAACCCUUGUGGUAGGGAGUCGUCGAA